UGCAUGUGAUGAGGGCAGGGAUUCAACGUUUCUUUAAAAUGAGCCCAUGCUUGGUACAUGUCCUCCCCCGUGUUUUGCUUAAAGCUUAAUAUCUCAUUUCUGAACCA
Molecule: small nucleolar RNA, 107 nt
Filed under: Solanum tuberosum (potato)
Lineage: Eukaryota; Viridiplantae; Streptophyta; Magnoliopsida; Solanales; Solanaceae
Description: Plant small nucleolar RNA R71
Rfam family: Plant small nucleolar RNA R71
About the family: R71 is a member of the C/D box family of snoRNAs containing the C (UGAUGA) and D (CUGA) box motifs. Multiple nearly identical copies of this snoRNA have been identified in Arabidopsis, and it is thought to function as a 2'-O-ribose methylation guide for 18S ribosomal RNA.
Source: Rfam by way of RNAcentral